AAUGAACCACGUCUUGGAAAUGUAAAGUACCUGAAACAAAGGUUUCUUUCACAUGGUACUAUUUGCAUAGAUUAUCACGAGAUCCAGCAUACCGGUUACGUGAAACUGAAGUGAAUAUCACGUGAGCAAGACUUAGCUGCCCUUUUGGAUAAAGAAAAACUUAAUAUGAGUUGCCAACUUACGCAUGAGUUAGGUUUGCUCAUCUUCAGCACUAUAAAGAUGAAGGUUCCAAUACAUAUACAGGUUGCUGUUUGACAACUAAAGAACUUAUUAAGUUUCAUCGUGAAGUACAAAAUUAUAUUUAUGAUCUCAGCUACCUUGGGGCAUAGAUGGUUGUUGUAACUAGUACGUGUCAUAUUUGGUGUAUACUGCAAAUAUGAUACCAGUCUUCUGCUCUUUGUAUUUUUAAAUCUCAAGUUACUAUUGCCUCUGUGCCGCAUCUAACAUUUUAAAAUUGGAAUGAUGGUCGGAGGCUUAGAGCAUACUGCUUAGAAGACUCUGAAUGUAGCUAUAGCAGCAGAAUCGCAAGGUAUGAAGCUGCAAAGAUCUUGUUGAUUCCUUCAUUACUUUUUCAGUUAUACUGUAGUCUGUAUAUUUCUGCAUCACAUUCUGUAUGAAUGAUCAAUAGCUUUGCAUUAUUCAUGUAAUCAUAUGCAUAUUAUCCUUUCUGCAGCAUUCAAGUUUUAUUUUGGAGGGGGGUAGGAAUAUUCAUUCUCACAAACAUCUGAUACCAAUUUUGAGUUUAGGCACACUGCCAGAAAUUUCUAUUCAGCUAC
RNAcentral lists this long non-coding RNA (776 nucleotides) under Solanum tuberosum (potato). RNAcentral describes it as "long non-coding RNA (STUB_LNC006501)". Lineage: Eukaryota; Viridiplantae; Streptophyta; Magnoliopsida; Solanales; Solanaceae. The record is from RNAcentral.